GCCAACCCCUACUAACUCUGGUGGCAGUUUCUCUUCUUUUCUUGUCCUUUUGUCUUUUAUCUAACUAUUAUGUAUUGUUUUUCAACCCUAAAAGAAAACUUCAUGUACAUUUCUUUUUAAUUUUUGUGAUCCGCAAAGAUUUCUCACUGCAAUAUAUAUACACCUAGAAGAUUUUUCAGUUCGCUUGUCUUGUCCGUACUUAGUAGACUCAUAUCAGGAAAUGCAGAAUUGGUAACAAGUUACAUAAAUUCUAGAAAGUUUUCUCCCUGCUGCUGGAAGCUUUACAAUGCAGUAUACAACUUGUCUAUUCUCCUCUUGAAAUUUGUGUUGACUUCGUUUCUGAUCUUACUUGUGUGUACAAUUCUGAUAAAUAGAGUAAUAUAUUUCUGGAUAAGUUAAGCCUUUCCUGUUGUGCUAGAAUAGACAUAACUUCUGUUUGAAUUUACUUAUGUACUUUGGUGGUCAGUUACAGUCCAAUGGAAAGAAGAGA
This 490-nucleotide unclassified non-coding RNA is filed under the name Hevea brasiliensis (rubber tree). The record is from RNAcentral. Lineage: Eukaryota; Viridiplantae; Streptophyta; Magnoliopsida; Malpighiales; Euphorbiaceae.